GGCGGUGUAGCUCAGCGGUUAGAGCACACGGUUCAUAACCGUGGUGUCCAGGGUUCGAAUCCCUGCACCGCCA
This 73-nucleotide transfer RNA is filed under the name Dictyoglomus turgidum DSM 6724. It matches the Rfam family "tRNA". From Rfam's summary of the family: Transfer RNA (tRNA) molecules are approximately 80 nucleotides in length. Their secondary structure includes four short double-helical elements and three loops (D, anti-codon, and T loops). Lineage: Bacteria; Pseudomonadati; Dictyoglomota; Dictyoglomia; Dictyoglomales; Dictyoglomaceae. The record is from Rfam by way of RNAcentral.